RNAcentral lists this ribosomal RNA (490 nucleotides) under uncultured bacterium. RNAcentral describes it as "bacterial SSU rRNA". It matches the Rfam family "Bacterial small subunit ribosomal RNA", at positions 30 to 507 of the family's 1533-position model. The record is from RNAcentral.
AUUGAACGCUGGCGGCAUGCCUAACACAUGCAAGUCGAACGGAAACGAUGGGAGCUUGCUCCCAGGCGUCGAGUGGCGGACGGGUGAGGUAAUACUUAGGAAUCUGCCCAUUAGUGGGGGACAACAUUCGGAAACGGAUGCUAAUACCGCAUACGCCCUACGGGGGAAAGCGGGGGAUCUUCGGACCUCGCGCUAAUGGAUGAGCCUAAGUCGGAUUAGCUUGUUGGUGAGGUAAGGGCUCACCAAGGCGACGAUCCGUAGCUGGGUCUGAGAGGACGAUCAGCCACACUGGGACUGAGACACGGCCCAGACUCCUACGGGAGGCAGCAGUGGGGAAUAUUGGACAAUGGGCGCAAGCCUGAUCCAGCAAUGCCGCGUGUGUGAAGAAGGCCUGCGGGUUGUAAAGCACUUUCAGUAGAGAAGAAAAGCCUAGGGUUAAUACCCCUGAGUCUUGACGUAACCUACAGAAGAAGCACCGGCUAACUCCGUG